Molecule: ribosomal RNA, 920 nt
Filed under: Bacillus altitudinis
Lineage: Bacteria; Bacillati; Bacillota; Bacilli; Caryophanales; Bacillaceae
Description: bacterial SSU rRNA
Rfam family: Bacterial small subunit ribosomal RNA
Source: RNAcentral
GUCGAGCGGACAGAAGGGAGCUUGCUCCCGGAUGUUAGCGGCGGACGGGUGAGUAACACGUGGGUAACCUGCCUGUAAGACUGGGAUAACUCCGGGAAACCGGAGCUAAUACCGGAUAGUUCCUUGAACCGCAUGGUUCAAGGAUGAAAGACGGUUUCGGCUGUCACUUACAGAUGGACCCGCGGCGCAUUAGCUAGUUGGUGAGGUAACGGCUCACCAAGGCGACGAUGCGUAGCCGACCUGAGAGGGUGAUCGGCCACACUGGGACUGAGACACGGCCCAGACUCCUACGGGAGGCAGCAGUAGGGAAUCUUCCGCAAUGGACGAAAGUCUGACGGAGCAACGCCGCGUGAGUGAUGAAGGUUUUCGGAUCGUAAAGCUCUGUUGUUAGGGAAGAACAAGUGCAAGAGUAACUGCUUGCACCUUGACGGUACCUAACCAGAAAGCCACGGCUAACUACGUGCCAGCAGCCGCGGUAAUACGUAGGUGGCAAGCGUUGUCCGGAAUUAUUGGGCGUAAAGGGCUCGCAGGCGGUUUCUUAAGUCUGAUGUGAAAGCCCCCGGCUCAACCGGGGAGGGUCAUUGGAAACUGGGAAACUUGAGUGCAGAAGAGGAGAGUGGAAUUCCACGUGUAGCGGUGAAAUGCGUAGAGAUGUGGAGGAACACCAGUGGCGAAGGCGACUCUCUGGUCUGUAACUGACGCUGAGGAGCGAAAGCGUGGGGAGCGAACAGGAUUAGAUACCCUGGUAGUCCACGCCGUAAACGAUGAGUGCUAAGUGUUAGGGGGUUUCCGCCCCUUAGUGCUGCAGCUAACGCAUUAAGCACUCCGCCUGGGGAGUACGGUCGCAAGACUGAAACUCAAAGGAAUUGACGGGGGCCCGCACAAGCGGUGGAGCAUGUGGGUUUAAUUCGAAGCAACGC